RNAcentral lists this long non-coding RNA (1392 nucleotides) under Homo sapiens (human). RNAcentral describes it as "HSALNT0390558". Lineage: Eukaryota; Metazoa; Chordata; Mammalia; Primates; Hominidae. The record is from RNAcentral.
CCCCGCUGAACAAGGCCCCAACUUGCCCACGAGGAGAGGAGUCCAGAAGAGUGUCUCAGCCAUGGCUGCCCGGCCUGGCCCGCCCGGCCAAGCUGGGUGUCCCCUUAGCCCCUGCGUGCUUUCCUGGGCACAACACAAUCACACAGACUGCUCCAAGCUCCUCGAAGACUAGGAUCUUGUCACGUUUGUAUCCUUGGGCCUGGCACAGGGCCUGGUAACUAGUAGGUGUAGCUGGCUGGCGGCAGCUUCCUUAACAGCAAACGUAGGUGCCAUCCACCCAGCCUUUAUCCCCAGUCCAAGCACUUCAGCGUGGAGGUCUAGCAAGCCCUGGACAGGACCAGCCAGCUAGAGACAGACAUUUUGGGAUACCAGCCUGGAGACCUAAAUGUACCCAGAAUCCCCCGCCUUUUUAUCGGUGGAUUUCAGCCCUCAAAGCGUUCCGUGAGCCUCUGACCGCCCAAAUCCAUCACACAUGAGUUGGAAUGCCAGGGACCAUUCCCGGCCAAACGUUAGAUUACAGGAGUAAGAGAGAAGAGGAGGGACUGUCCGAGGUGCCUCGGCACUAUGGCUGCACAGCUGGAUCUCUGGACACGGAGCCCUGGACCGUUUCCACCCAGACACUCCCAUUCCAUCAAGUGGGGGUGUGGACGUUUAUGCAAUUCUGGAAGGUCUCCUGGUGGGGACCCCUGGGAAAGAGACUAAUAAGAAAGCAUCCAGUUUCUUCGGUCUCUGACGUUGUUGUCUGCACAAGAGAGUUAAGGCAGCCAUCUUGGGACCAUGAGGGAGCCAGUCUAAGAGGCAAAUCAACACAAUGAGAGGGUGUUGGAAAAAGACAAAAAGAACCUGGUCCUUGAUGUCACAGCCAGGCCUCUGAAUUAACCACCCCCAGGACUUCUUGUUACGUGAGCUAAUAAACGUUCCUUUUUGCUUAAACCCCUUCUAGUUGGGCUUUCUGUUGUAACUUGCACCGAAAACUACAAUAGGAUAGCAAAGGAUAUGAACAUAAGUGAUUUGCCUAGAGGAAACCCACAUGGUCAAUGAGAAUAAGAUGCUCAGCCUCAUAGGCAGGGAAUGCAGCUUCAAAUGAGAUGCCACUUCAUGCCUAUCAGAUUGGCAAACAUAAGUCUAACAAGAGCAAAAGUUGGCAAGGAUGUGGUAAAACAGGAUGUCUUGUACAAACGCUGGUGGUGAGAGGAUCAAUUGGUUCAGACGCUGUAGAGAGCAGUUUGGCAGUACUAGUCAACUUCAAAGUGUGCCUGCCCGACAAUCCUAGCUUUCUAAGUAUAUGCCCUAAUAAUGGGUUCAGAGAAAAGUCCAAGCAUGUUCAUUGAAGCCCUGUUUAUAUAACAGCAAAACAGGCCCGGUGCAAUGGCUCAUGCCUGUAAUCCCAGC